CUAAGUCCAGGUUUUCUAUAUCGAUUAACGGCAGUUUAGAAGCGUACUUCAAAGGGGCAAAAGGGAUUAGACAAGGAGACGCUUUGUGCCCUUACAUCUUUGUGAUGGCCAUGGAUGUGCUAUCAAGGUUACUAGAUAAAGCAACAACUAGCCAAAUAUUUCAUUACCAUCCUAGGGCCUGAAAGAUAAAACUCAUGUUUUGUAGAUGAUCUUCUCAUUUUUGUCGAAGGAAAGCUUGAGUCUAUUGUUGGAGUUCAGUGCAUUCUUGAAUAG
This 273-nucleotide long non-coding RNA is filed under the name Gossypium barbadense (sea-island cotton). Its description in RNAcentral is "long non-coding RNA (GBAR_LNC022107)". Lineage: Eukaryota; Viridiplantae; Streptophyta; Magnoliopsida; Malvales; Malvaceae. The record is from RNAcentral.